ACAAACUUGGUCAUUUAGAGGAAGUAAAAGUCGUAACAAGGUUUCCGUAGGUGAACCUGCGGAAGGAUCAUUAUUGAAUGUUUGAGGUAGUUGAGCUGGUCUUAACAGACAAGUGCUUGCUGCUUCUAUUCAUCUUAUCCACCUGUGCACUUUCUGUAGAGCUUUGAAGAAAGUCUUAGUUGAUUCUAGGACAAGUAAUCAGGCUUUAUGUAUCUUAUACACUCUAUGAAUGUCUUUGAAUGUCUUUUAUUGGGGCUUGAUUGACCCUUUAAACUUUAUACAACUUUCAGCAACGGAUCUCUUGGCUCUCGCAUCGAUGAAGAACGCAGC
Molecule: unclassified non-coding RNA, 330 nt
Filed under: uncultured fungus
Lineage: Eukaryota; Fungi
Description: partial contains small subunit ribosomal RNA, internal transcribed spacer 1, and 5.8S ribosomal RNA
Rfam family: Eukaryotic small subunit ribosomal RNA (bases 1-73)
Source: RNAcentral